This is a long non-coding RNA of Lytechinus pictus (painted urchin), 2265 nucleotides long. RefSeq lists it as uncharacterized. The transcript has 3 exons. NCBI's taxonomy places the organism in Eukaryota, Metazoa, Echinodermata, Echinoidea, Temnopleuroida, Toxopneustidae. The record is from RefSeq and is a predicted model, not a curated record.
AGUCAUUAGAUGAAUAAAGCUGGGAGGAGAAUUUUAGCCUGUGAGCUUGUUGAUGCCGGUAUAAAUAGAUCAAUUCCAUAGCACCAUCAGCAUUGCCAUGGUUUAAUUGCAGACUGACUGAGGAGCCCGAGGAUCCUUCCGUAGAGAUUGAUAGAUGUGUCAGCAUAAUGUUUAGAUUAGAAGGAUUUCUACUGAUUCAUGAAAGGAUGAAUGUUAAAAUGUUGGUGUCUUUUCUACGUCUUAUCUUAGUAAUACAUCUCUCCUCUUGCCAAGAGCAAUCACUGUGUCCUCACAUCGGCCAAAUAACCAGGUCUCAGUUACCUGCGGCCGAGGUGUCACAUUUUUAUGACGAUCUUCAUGACUCUUCCCCUCGUAAGUAGCACUCUACCCAUGCACGCACCAUCAUUAUAUUACCAGAUUCAUAGCAUGAAUUGCGGUGAGCCAGUAGAAGAUAGUGUUAUGGAUUGCGGUGACAACUAAAGACGCAUUCUAGGCUGAAAAAUGAUAUGACUUGAACAGAUAAGGUAAAUUCAGACAAUAACGCUAAAAUUCCAUCUAAAUCGGACAAGAAAUGAUAAGGUUAUAAUAUUUUAUAUUUUGCAUAAUUUCGGAGAACAGUGCUAAGCAUGUGUUAAUGAAAUGCAAUUAGCAAGCUGAUGAUGUUAUACCCUUUAUUCUUUUGUAUUCAUUACAUGAAUUUAUGUUUAUUCAUUUUUUCUCCAAGAACAGAACUUCUGAUUUAAUGAGUAAAAUAAUAAUUGCUGCAACGUAUUUUGUAACACGGGAGAUAUAUCACACUUAUAUGUAUGAAAGUUAUAAUUAUAGAGGGAAUGUGAUAUCAUCAUGUAACAUAUUGCAUAUUAAUGAGAGCCCGGGUGUGCGAUACAAAAAUGUUUUCACAAAACAUUGGUAAAAUUUUAUUCAAUAACUUAAUUAUUUGAGCGAUUGGCUAAGUGAAUUUUGUUCUAGUCUUGGUCUAGUGGAAAAAAGGAAUUAAAGUUGAUUUAUAUUAAGUCAUUAAAAUGUCGUGCAUGCAGGACAGGGUUGCUGAAAAGCCUGAAAAGAAGAAUAAAAAUCAUACACCAUACUUUUGCCCCCACAAAAAUAAUCAAAGGCAAAGAAAAGUAACAUUUAACUUUACUAAGGCUCGAUUAAUCAAGUUCUUGUCUGAACGAUCGUAAGCCCGUGUCGUAAAUCUCUUGAUCCAUAUCGCUCUUAUCAAUAUAAAUAACACUUUAAUCAAAUUGAUUACUUACACAUUCGGCAUUGGUACACAUAGGACAUCUGAGUGUUAUUUGAAUGACAAAAUGGUAGCAAUUUCUUACGUUUAUCCUGAGUUUAAUAGUUCAUGCGCUGUAAUAUGAAAUGAAUAGUUUUUACUUUGUGUCUAUCCGAGCCAAUAAGUUCGGGCAAUAAGUUCCCUUUUUUUUUUCAAUUUUAAUUGACCACUGGCAUAAAUCCAAGCAUUGAACCUAUCGUUUAGGGAGAUGAUCUAUUGUUUCACCCCCCCCCCAUGACGCCACGGACUUACGCCAAUGCAUCUUCGUGGAAGCGUGUAUAGCAAAUCGCAUCUUAUCGAUAUUAAGUGGAAUUUUAUUGUUUGAUACCAAAUCACACAUUCAAAAUACUUUAGUGCUCAUAAAGCUGGAUUUUCUCUAGCUUUACCCUAACAUCUUUUUAGUAUUACUGACGUACUAGCAGAGCCCGUGGAAAUUCCACGGGUUUUGGGGGUGUGAUUAAGUUAAAUAGAAUUUGUUGUAGAUUGACAUGUCUAUUCAAGAUAGGGAAAGAAAUAAACAUUUGAACUUUUUAAGAGAAGGUUGUGGUUUGAAAGGAAUGUGAAAGUUAGGUUUUUAUUUGAAGUCGUAAUUUGUUUUGAAAAAUAUAUGAUUGAUUAAAAGUGAUAAAGAGUAUAUAGGAUUAUGGUUAAUAGAAGAAAUACAGAUAAGAGAAUUAAAAUGCUAUUGAAGUUGGACGAAUAUGAUAUUUAGUUAAAGUAGCUUUUAAAAAUAUUGCCCCUCAUUUUAACUAUAAAAAGGGAAGUCGAAAAAGUAUUUGGUUUUGGAGGAUUUACAUUAACCCAUUUAUUUACUUGUUCAACGUAUUUCAUUGCAUUAGCUGAUAUUCAUUUUAUCGCCCCCGCCUUUUAUUUUUUUUUAUUUUAUUUUUUUUACUGUCUUUUAUUUCUAUUUGUCCCAAAAAGUAAAGAAGGAAGAAAACAUUUUCAAAAGAUGCAAGUUUAUUUUUUUGGUCCCCUUUAUCACU